UGGCGGCGUGCUUAACACAUGCAAGUCGAACGAUGAAGCCGCUUCGGUGGUGGAUUAGUGGCGAACGGGUGAGUAACACGUGGGCAAUCUGCCCUGCACUCUGGGACAAGCCCUGGAAACGGGGUCUAAUACCGGAUAUGACCUGGUGAGGCAUCUUACCGGGUGGAAAGCUCCGGCGGUGCAGGAUGAGCCCGCGGCCUAUCAGCUUGUUGGUGGGGUGAUGGCCUACCAAGGCGACGACGGGUAGCCGGCCUGAGAGGGCGACCGGCCACACUGGGACUGAGACACGGCCCAGACUCCUACGGGAGGCAGCAGUGGGGAAUAUUGCACAAUGGGCGCAAGCCUGAUGCAGCGACGCCGCGUGAGGGAUGACGGCCUUCGGGUUGUAAACCUCUUUCAGCAGGGAAGAAGCGCAAGUGACGGUACCUGCAGAAGAAGCGCCGGCUAACUACGUGCCAGCAGCCGCGGUAAUACGUAGGGCGCGAGCGUUGUCCGGAAUUAUUGGGCGUAAAGAGCUCGUAGGCGGCUUGUCGCGUCGGAUGUGAAAGCCCGGGGCUUAACCCCGGGUCUGCAUUCGAUACGGGCAGGCUAGAGUUCGGUAGGGGAGAUCGGAAUUCCUGGUGUAGCGGUGAAAUGCGCAGAUAUCAGGAGGAACACCGGUGGCGAAGGCGGAUCUCUGGGCCGAUACUGACGCUGAGGAGCGAAAGCGUGGGGAGCGAACAGGAUUAGAUACCCUGGUAGUCCACGCCGUAAACGUUGGGAACUAGGUGUGGGCGACAUUCCACGUUGUCCGUGCCGCAGCUAACGCAUUAAGUUCCCCGCCUGGGGGAGUACGGCCGCAAGGCUAAA
RNAcentral lists this ribosomal RNA (849 nucleotides) under Streptomyces sp. Sp080513G1-02. RNAcentral describes it as "bacterial SSU rRNA". It matches the Rfam family "Bacterial small subunit ribosomal RNA", at positions 37 to 898 of the family's 1533-position model. The record is from RNAcentral. Lineage: Bacteria; Bacillati; Actinomycetota; Actinomycetes; Kitasatosporales; Streptomycetaceae.